This 494-nucleotide ribosomal RNA is filed under the name uncultured bacterium. RNAcentral describes it as "partial 16S ribosomal RNA". It matches the Rfam family "Bacterial small subunit ribosomal RNA", at positions 28 to 507 of the family's 1533-position model. The record is from RNAcentral.
GACGAACGCUGGCGGCGCGCUUAACACAUGCAAGUCGAACGGAAAGGCCUGCUUUCCCUUGUGGAUUGCGGGUACUCGAGUGGCGAACGGGUGAGUAACACGUGAGUGAUCUGCCCCCAACUUGGGUAUAAGCCUGGGAAACUGGGUCUAAUUCCCGAUAGGACUGCAGGGUGGUGCCUGUGGUGGAAAACGAUUUUCUAGUGGUUGGGGAUGAGCUCGCGGCCUAUCAGCUUGUUGGUGGGGUAAUGGCCUACCAAGGCGGCGACGGGUAGCCGGCCUGGGAGGGUGGACGGCCACAUUGGGACUGAGAUACGGCCCAGACUCCUACGGGAGGCAGCAGUGGGGAAUAUUGCACAAUGGGCGGAAGCCUGAUGCAGCGACGCCGCGUGGGGGAUGACGGCCUUCGGGUUGUAAACUCCUUUCGACCGCGAGGAAGCCACCUGGUUGGAAGGGUGGUGACGGUAGUGGUAGAAGAAGCACCGGCCAACUACGUG